UAGCAGCUUCGGGAUGAGCCCCCACAAAGGCAUGUGGGAAGGGGCAGGUAGGUCCCACCACCAUUAAGCCCUCCAAGGGCCAACCUGAGGCAAGGGUCGGGGGUGGGGAGGGUGGCAGGCAUGCACGUCUGACGUGCAGGUAGUCUGAAGGAGGGAAUCCAAACUCUUUUCCAAAAGACUGCCCAGGCAAGACUCUCCUUUAGGACUAAGUGUAGUGUUUUAGAAUUCAGAGAAACCCAAGUCAUAGAACGCUGAUGCUCUAAAGGACAUCAUAAACCAUCUGAUUUUGUGCCCAUUUGCCAGAUGAGAAAAUUAAGGCCCAGAGAAGUGAAGUGAUUCGGACAAAUUGCUGUUAAGUGCUGUGGCUUAGCCACCACUUGCCUGUCCCAGGAUGAUGAAAUAGAUCUCAGGAUGGGGCCCACCCGGCCGCCUCUACCAAUUGGGGGUGUAGGGCCGGAGCCUCUGUUCACUUCAGAAAGGGCUCCCUCAGGACGAUGGCCAGCCUCCUUCCCUCUUGCAGGGCAGAGCCUCUUGGGGGCGCCACCAAAGCUUUUCGUCACAGGCCUUUCACUCCGUUCGUUCGGUAACUGUGGUUCUGUUCUGCUGAUUAGAUUACAAGUCCGAGAGCUCUGGAGGUGAGCACGGAGCUCUCGGCCCGAUGCCUGCAAACUGCGGACACAGCGCUGCAGGUGCCUGGUCACUGCCGCUCGGCCAAGAAGCCAGCAGUGCACGUGCUCACGCUGUUCGUCGGGGCUGGGGAGUCCCCGGGGAGCACGCGCAGCUCCCGGUGUCCAAGGCCGUGCACGCGGAAGCCUGGUCUCUGGGGCAGCAGCACGCCCCGGGAGCUAGAAGUGCCGACUCCCAGCCUUCCCGGCGCCAUCAUCUGUUAAAUUAGAACACAGGAGCGCACUCCUUUACAAAGACAAACUAUGUACAGACACCCGGGAAGCAACUGGAAAAAGCAACUGGUUUGGGGGUUGACAGAUGGGAAGAAAAAGUCAUCGGAGGUGACCUUCACCCACCGGCUGUGCGUGGGGAGAGCCUGAAAUCCCAUUCAUCGAAGCACACACCACAAUAUUCAUUCGGCAAAUAGAAAUACACGUUCAUAAGCGGGAGAAAAAUAAACUCAGGUUUGUGGUUUUUUGUUUUUAUCACAUCUACCAUCACGCUGUUUGGUUUCUCUAAUUGGACAUAAAGGCUAAAGUUUUAAAAGUUUUACAGGGCUUGGAGGGCCUUUGGAGAGGAAUUGCUCAGCAAUUUUGGAGGAGCAAAGAGGCCGACAGGAGUCCCUUGUGUCGCUGGAGGUGGCGGCAAUGUCUGGUCCCAAGAAACUUCACACUCGUCCUCACACUAACCCAAAGGACAGGAGGCCCAACUGGAAAUCUGUGCGUACAAGACCUUUGAGAAUCGCAGCUUUUUCAGAAAAGGGAUGCAUUUUAAACCACCUAGCCCAGCUCUCUCUUUUUUUGUAAUUGUCAAUUUGUCAUCUUAGAAAGUAACACAUCUUCCAGUUGUCCUAACAGUAUGGCCAAAAAUGAAAUUUGGAUAGAUUUCUAGAAAGACCUCGGGCUUUCACGGCAGGAAGGCGACGGCAGAGGGCCCGCCCUGCGGUCCGUGGAGGUUGCUGAGCCCUGGAGCUGGGCUUGAAGUCACAGCCCAGCUCGUCGGCGGCUGAGAGGUCAGUAGCAGGGAGGGUGGGCCCCCGAUUCCUGCAGCUGACUUCUCACGGAGGGUGCUCUGCGGGGACGGGGGCUGAGUUGUGUUCAGCCUCUCCCCGGCUCCACGCAGACUGCAAGCAGAGGGCACUUUGGG
RNAcentral lists this long non-coding RNA (1812 nucleotides) under Suricata suricatta (meerkat). RNAcentral's name for it is "lncRNA (ENSSSUG00005010415.1)". Lineage: Eukaryota; Metazoa; Chordata; Mammalia; Carnivora; Herpestidae. The record is from RNAcentral.